GAAACCUGGCUUGUCCACACAACACCCUGAGCCCUGUCUUGAGCAACUCCGGCUCCCAAACCAGAAUGCCAGAGUAUUAACUUACAAUGAGAACGACUGCGGCAGAGGGCAGAGGUUAUAAAAAAGGAAACUAUUCUUUGGGACACACUCAAAUGAUCCAAGAAGAGUACAAAGAAAGCGAAAGUCACCUGCUCUCCUGCUCAUCAGACGUGACUGUGUUGGCUAGUGUCCUUCCUGGUACAUCCGGUCACGGGCGACCUUACGAACUUCCCUGUACUCCAUCUGACAAAUCCUGUAUGUGCCUCAAAAUCCAACUCAGGCGUCCGACCCCUUUGUGAUGUCUCCUUGACACCUCCCCCAAAUUAACCACACCCUUUGUGCUCCAGCUCUUGUGCUUAAACACAUUUAUCCCACUGAACUGUGAUUACGUGUUUGAGUGUCUGUCUCCCCAGGUAGAGAUGAAGCUCUCCAAGGAGAGAAACCAAGUUUCUGACUCAUGUUUUAAUCCCCAGUGUCCAGCACAGGGCCUGGCACUACGUAUGUACGGUAAAGACGAUCUAAAAUGAGUCAAUAAGUUAAUGAAAUCAGUGAGUGAGCAGACUAAGAAGGAAGAAUGCAUACACCU
Molecule: long non-coding RNA, 625 nt
Organism: Lutra lutra (Eurasian river otter)
Lineage: Eukaryota; Metazoa; Chordata; Mammalia; Carnivora; Mustelidae
Exons: 3
Source: RefSeq, a predicted model, not a curated record